RNAcentral lists this transfer RNA (64 nucleotides) under Tridacna derasa. Its description in RNAcentral is "tRNA-Pro". The record is from RNAcentral. Lineage: Eukaryota; Metazoa; Mollusca; Bivalvia; Cardiida; Cardiidae.
CAGGGCUUAGUAUAAAUUAAGUAUAUCAGUUUUGGGAAUUGAUGGUUCUAAAUGGAAGUCCUGA